Molecule: long non-coding RNA, 728 nt
Filed under: Lynx pardinus (Iberian lynx)
Lineage: Eukaryota; Metazoa; Chordata; Mammalia; Carnivora; Felidae
Source: RNAcentral
UAGGAAGUCCAUUCCAGUUUUGUCUGCCUUUCGAGUGGCCCCCCUUGGGCAGCAGCCAGGCCUGGCCGCACUCCUUCGAAGCAGCACCCAGCUUCCCUUUGCUGUCUGACUCCUCUCAUAUUCUAUCCCUUGCGGGAAGUCUGCUCUUCUCCUGCUGCUUGUACUAGUGGAGCACACUGUGCACAGCCAGUGGGGGUUCAAGGUCAGAAUCAGGUCAAAAAUGAAAGAAGCAAACACAGUCUCCUGCCCAGCUUACCUGUCCUCGGUCCAACCCCUCUCGCCAGCCCUGAGUGGCCAUCACACGAUCGGAAGUCAGCUGAGGGAAGAACAGGGAUGGAAAUAGCAAUCGAGAAGCCUUUUUUGGGGUAAGCCACAUGGCGGGGGCAUUGCAGCAGCCUUUCGUGAGUGGCCGAAAGCCCCCACUCCUAGCAAAUGUGCUUCUCAAAGAUGCAGGAUUUUUUAAUAAACAGAGGAAAUGAUAAAUUAUGUUGUAACUCCACUCCAAAGGCAUUUGGUUCUUAACAGCCAAAUCCUCUGUAGUCUUUAAAUAAACAAAAACUUAUUUGGUGAACAGACAGGGUUGGGGGGGGAGGUUGGAAAAUGAAAGAUUUUCUGUACUUGGGUCCCACAUGUCAACAAUUUCUCUCCUGUGUGUAUGUUGGCCAAAGCUGUAUAUCAUGAUAAAUGAAUAAAGGAAAACCUCCAGCCCAGGGCAGUCAGACGGCUCA